AUGAACGCUGGCGGCGUGCCUAAUACAUGCAAGUCGAGCGAACGGACGAGAAGCUUGCUUCUCUGAUGUUAGCGGCGGACGGGUGAGUAACACGUGGAUAACCUACCUAUAAGACUGGGAUAACUUCGGGAAACCGGAGCUAAUACCGGAUGAUAUUUUGAACCGCAUGGUUCAAAAGUGAAAGACGGUCUUGCUGUCACUUAUAGAUGGAUCCGCGCUGCAUUAGCUAGUUGGUAAGGUAACGGCUUACCAAGGCAACGAUGCAUAGCCGACCUGAGAGGGUGAUCGGCCACACUGGAACUGAGACACGGUCCAGACUCCUACGGGAGGCAGCAGUAGGGAAUCUUCCGCAAUGGGCGAAAGCCUGACGGAGCAACGCCGCGUGAGUGAUGAAGGUCUUUGGAUCGUAAAACUCUGUUAUUAGGGAAGAACAUAUGUGUAAGUAACUGUGCACAUCUUGACGGUACCUAAUCAGAAAGCCACGGCUAACUACGUG
This 496-nucleotide ribosomal RNA is filed under the name uncultured bacterium. Its description in RNAcentral is "partial 16S ribosomal RNA". It matches the Rfam family "Bacterial small subunit ribosomal RNA", at positions 29 to 507 of the family's 1533-position model. The record is from RNAcentral.